RNAcentral lists this ribosomal RNA (502 nucleotides) under uncultured bacterium. RNAcentral's name for it is "partial 16S ribosomal RNA". It matches the Rfam family "Bacterial small subunit ribosomal RNA", at positions 28 to 523 of the family's 1533-position model. The record is from RNAcentral.
GAUGAACGCUAGCGACAGGCUUAACACAUGCAAGUCGAGGGGCAGCGGGGUGUAGCAAUACACCGCCGGCGACCGGCGCACGGGUGAGUAACGCGUAUGCAACUUGCCUAUCAGAGGGGGAUAACCCGGAGAAAGUCGGACUAAUACCGCAUGAAGCAGGGGCCCCGCAUGGGGAUAUCUGCUAAAGAUUCAUCGCUGAUAGAUAGGCAUGCUUUCCAUUAGGAAGUUGGCGGGGUAACGGCCACCAAACCGAAGAUGGAUAGGGGUUCUGAGAGGAAGGUCCCCCACAUUGGUACUGAGACACGGACCAAACGCCUACGGGAGGCAGCAGUGAGGAAUAUUGGUCAAUGGGCGCUAGCCUGAACCAGCCAAGUCGCGUGAGGGAUGAAGGUUCUAUGGAUCGUAAACCUCUUUUAUAAGGGAAUAAAGUGCGGGACUUGUCCCGUUUUGUAUGUACCUUAUGAAUAAGGAUCGGCUAACUCCGUGCCAGCAGCCGCAGUAA